ACGGAGGGGAGAACAGGGAGAAAAGGAGGCAUUGGAAAGGAGAGAGAAGAACAAACUGACCUAGUGGAACAGGCUUGAGGAGCAGCUCACUCCAUCACAACUGACUGGACUCUGGAUCCAGAUGACACUGGCAGGUACAGGAAGCAGGAACUUGGACAGGUAGAGUGAUCACUCUGUCUCCUUCUUUUACCGAUCUUCCUCCCGGUGCCGUCGUGGGUGGAUGAGAGUUGAAGAAUCAGGACAGCGGAUGACAGCUAUCCUCGCAUGCAAGAAAUGUUAGUCCACAUGCGAAGGAGAACUGGGGCUGGACACGCUUUCCAAAUCGCUGAUGGUGGAACAGUUUGUACUGGCUGCUGCAUUGGGGUGUUGGGACUCUAUUUAUUGCUUGGCGACACAAAUAAAAAUAGAAAAGCAUGACCCAAGCACGAACAGAUGGUAAAGCAGUUUCCUCCAGCCAAUUCAGGCAGAGAUGGCUGGGGGGAAACACAGAGGUAGGCAGCCAUGCAGGAAACCAUCAAACCAAGAAGGUAGUGUUGUUAUAUCACAGCCUGGGGGGGACUCUGGAGAGAAAGCCUUACACAGCUGCAGAGGAAGGGCAUGUGCCCGCCAGUCCCCAGCCCUACCCUGUGAGUACUGGAGCCCACAAUAACCUCUCUUUUUCUUGUUCACACAUACACCCACACACCCCUCUCAUACGCCCCACCACAGGAAGCCCAGCUGAAAUAAAUCAGCCACUAGCCCUUUCCUUCCCUCAGCUGAGGCUGUUCACAUACAGGCUGUUCAGGCUCCUACUCUGUCUACAGCUGCUGAAGAAUCCCUGUCCUGCUCCUCCCAGAAAAGACUCAGCCACAGAAGCCUCAACAGUAGACUGCCAGUGAACUACUGUGGCUCCCCCAGGGGACAGCAGAUACGACAAUGAGAAGGUCCUUCUUACCUCAGAAGAGAGAAAAAUCAUCUUCUGCAGCAUUGCCCCUGAAUAGUUGGGGAAGAAAGUGUUGUGCAACUGUUGUAUAAAGGAGGGUAUGACGUUCAAAAAGGCCUGUUGAUUAACAAUGAAGGUGCCUCCAAGUUCUUUGAAUCAGGCCUCACCGCCACCUCCUAUAAUCAAGUGGCUCAGAGACAUUAUACAGACAAAAGCCAUGGGAACUGAAGAAACAAAUAUGCCAUUGGCACACCACCAGAACCAUGGCAGGAGAGCAGGACAACGGGGAUAGCUACUGAUGAAUGUGAUCAGAACCAUAGUGCAAAAGAGGAGCAUGAGGCCAAGUCACUCACCCAACUUUUGCUUGAGACUCUAGAACCCUAAGAGGACACUUCAAAUGAUUCAAAACACAGCGGGGGUGGGGGGCAGUACAGAGAGAAGUUGUGUGGCUAAAUGUUUAAGAG
Mauremys mutica (yellowpond turtle) is the source of this 1386-nucleotide long non-coding RNA. RefSeq lists it as uncharacterized. The transcript is spliced from 4 exons. The record is from RefSeq and is a predicted model, not a curated record. Lineage: Eukaryota; Metazoa; Chordata; Testudines; Geoemydidae.